GUUAACAACUUGUAACAAGCUUGAUGGCAUUAUCAGACUUGUUACAAGGUUGUUCUAAUAAGUUUGAUACAUUCAUAGGUUGUAACAAUAUUGUUAUAUAAUGACUGUAUCGGAUUUGUUGGAACAACCUUGCAACAAGUCUGAUAAUAUCAACAAGGUUGUUACAAGUUGUUAAC
Paramuricea clavata is the source of this 176-nucleotide non-coding RNA. The record is from the annotation of a GenBank genome assembly. Lineage: Eukaryota; Metazoa; Cnidaria; Anthozoa; Malacalcyonacea; Plexauridae.